AACGCACAUUGCGCCCAUAGGUAUUCCUUUGGGCAUGUCUGUUUGAGCGUCAUUACAACCCUCAGCGCAAGCUGGUUAUGAGUUGGCUGAACACUUCUGUUUACAGAGGUCGAAGUCCGGCUUUAAAGUUGUAUGCUCUGCUGGCUGCUUUGCCUGACAAAACAUAGUAAAUCUUACAUUGUUUACAGAAUGGCUUUGCGAGUCCGGCCUGAAUAAAAUCAACCCUUUCUUAGGUUUGACCUCAGAUCAGACAAGGAUACCCGCUGAACUUAA
Molecule: unclassified non-coding RNA, 273 nt
Filed under: uncultured Dactylella
Lineage: Eukaryota; Fungi; Ascomycota; Orbiliomycetes; Orbiliales; Orbiliaceae
Description: sequence contains ITS2
Rfam family: 5.8S ribosomal RNA (bases 1-52)
Source: RNAcentral